CGGAUAAUGUGUUAGACUGUUAGUGGCUUCUGCUUGGAGUUUUAUAUAAGUUAAUCUUGAAUUUUGAACAUUUGCUGAACUAUCUCGGGAGUUUUACUGAAGGUUGUCUUGAAGAUGAAGGAUCAGGUUGCUUUUGGUGAUGUGCCUUCAGAUUUGCGCAUGGAAGUAAAAUUGGAAGAAGAUGAGGAAGAGUUUCGUAGUUGUUGUGGAGAUGAUGAAGUAUGGAAGGACCCUGAAGAAAUGGAGAAGGAAGAGCC
RNAcentral lists this unclassified non-coding RNA (257 nucleotides) under Hevea brasiliensis (rubber tree). Lineage: Eukaryota; Viridiplantae; Streptophyta; Magnoliopsida; Malpighiales; Euphorbiaceae. The record is from RNAcentral.